CACACAAAACGUUCAUCAAGUGCUUACAACCCAAUAAUACAAACAAUAUAAAGACUCGAAUUACGCACAAACGCCUACAAACGGAGAUAUAGAUCGAACAGAACCAUAAUUGUUCAAACCGGGAAAACACAAGGUACACAUAAACAUAUAGGUCGAACAUUCGUGCCAUACGUUCACCAUUCUUGCACAAAUGACUAUGGAAUGUCAAACUUCAAUUGGCUUAUGGGUGUCCAGAUUUAUGCAAUUUUACAAUACAUAGAUGAAGCCGCACAUUGACGCAUGGGGCGUCCAUCUUACGGCAUAGGUGGAGGAGCUGAUCCAUUAUUGACGCAGUUGUUGGAGCACUCGUUAGUGCUGGAUGGCAUGCAGUACUGCAUCACCCUUCCCGCGGCCGCAUUGCAAUUGUAGACUACUUCUCCAGCAGCCUUAGUGCAGGUUUCGCAGCAACCACGGUCACAGGGGCAGCCGCAGCUACUAGCGGAACAGGAACCCAGGCUGCAGGAGCCACGGGCGGCGUAGGAGCUACUGUUGCAGGGAGUCGUGCAGCUCUUGAAACAGCCGGCGUAGAACGAGAGAGAGAGAUAUUGCACUUGCUGUAAUCAGAGACAGCUAUGGCUUGGCAUCUCUGGGAAGUGGUAACAACUCGACGCGCACAGCUGAGAGCAAUCGAGCGCCGGCGCCGGGGCUAUGGCUGGCGAUGGCGCUGGCUGCUGCACCGUCGAGGAAUGCAUCAGCAUCACAGACACGGCAACCGCCAAGGCCCUCCUUAAGAGCGGCAAUAGUGGAAGCCAUGGUUACAGUGAGCUUGCAACCUUGUGACGAUUACAAGAUAGUAAGAAAGAAAAUAACCAAAGACAAGGUGCUUCAGUAAUGGAGAGAGAUGGGGAGGCAGCUCAAUUCGUGGCUGU
This 908-nucleotide long non-coding RNA is filed under the name Setaria viridis. RNAcentral's name for it is "long non-coding RNA (SVIR_LNC003365)". The record is from RNAcentral. Lineage: Eukaryota; Viridiplantae; Streptophyta; Magnoliopsida; Poales; Poaceae.